GCAGACCCUCCCUCAGUCAGCCAUGUGAACAGAAGCGAUGAGAGAGAUCUCAGCCUUUCAUUCCAAGUCUCACAGUUUCACAGGCAACACGUCCGAGGAAAAACACUUGUCUUCCACCGCCACAAUCAACGUUAAUUGUUAUAUUAUCCAGAGACAAUAUAAAUCACAACUAGCUCGAUGGCUACUGUAACUUUUAGGGAUGGCGCUUCCGAUAGUAUCGCGAGUUUAUCUCGUUGGCGAGAAUCAGGCUGCCACUUCCCGGGAACAGAAACGGUUCAAUUGAACCAACUGUCGAGCCUGCGCAAAUAAAGUUAAGUUAAAUAUGUACUUGGUGUCAUAUUAACUAUACUUCAGCUCUUGCUUAACAUCGGUUAUCAGGUUAACUUAGUUUACGGUUCUAUUUAAAUGUAAUGUGUGGACGCUAACGUUUGCUAGCCCGCUAGUUAGUCGACAUUAGCAGAACUCUCGGUAUUUAUCCAGAAAGAAAAAAUGGCUGCGGAGGAGAGGACAAGCUGGAUACUGACAUGUGCUACGGUCGCUUUUGUCGCCGCUCUGUAUGUGCCCUGUGUGCAGAGGACUGUCCCCGGUGGAGACUCAGGAGAGCUGAUCACCACUGCUUGUGAGCUGGGGGUGGCCCAUCCUCCAGGA
This is a long non-coding RNA of Micropterus salmoides (largemouth bass), 648 nucleotides long. RefSeq lists it as uncharacterized. Lineage: Eukaryota; Metazoa; Chordata; Actinopteri; Centrarchiformes; Centrarchidae. The transcript has 3 exons. The record is from RefSeq and is a predicted model, not a curated record.